GGGCGAUUAGCGCAGUUGGUUAGCGCGUUUCCUUGACAUGGAAAAGGUCACAGGUUCGAGUUCUGUAUCGCCCACCA
RNAcentral lists this transfer RNA (77 nucleotides) under Candidatus Omnitrophica bacterium CG10_big_fil_rev_8_21_14_0_10_43_8. RNAcentral's name for it is "tRNA-Val". It matches the Rfam family "tRNA". From Rfam's summary of the family: Transfer RNA (tRNA) molecules are approximately 80 nucleotides in length. Their secondary structure includes four short double-helical elements and three loops (D, anti-codon, and T loops). Further hydrogen bonds mediate the characteristic L-shaped molecular structure. tRNAs have two regions of fundamental functional importance: the anti-codon, which is responsible for specific mRNA codon recognition, and the 3' end, to which the tRNAs corresponding amino acid is attached (by aminoacyl-tRNA synthetases). tRNAs cope with the degeneracy of the genetic code in two manners: having more than one tRNA (with a specific anti-codon) for a particular amino acid; and 'wobble' base-pairing, i.e. permitting non-standard base-pairing at the 3rd anti-codon position. The record is from RNAcentral. Lineage: Bacteria; Pseudomonadati; Candidatus Omnitrophota.